UGAGUAUGUACGAGCCAAUCCAUAUUUCAUUCAGAAUCUUUAACAUUUCUUUAAGCUAGUCCAAGGAUGGUACUCUAACGAAAGUAAAUCUCCUGCCUCUUCUUGAAAGCUUGUUUGGAAUAUAAAUGUCAGAGAUACUGCCAAGCUUCGAAAAGGAAUUCCAUAAGCCCUGUGUAUUUGCGCUUAAAGGGAAGUUUUCAAG
This 202-nucleotide unclassified non-coding RNA is filed under the name Hevea brasiliensis (rubber tree). The record is from RNAcentral. Lineage: Eukaryota; Viridiplantae; Streptophyta; Magnoliopsida; Malpighiales; Euphorbiaceae.